GUGUCAGCAGCCGCGGUAAUACGUAGGUGGCGAGCGUUGUCCGGAAUUAUUGGGCGUAAAGAGCGCGUAGGCGGCUUGUCAGGUCUGACGUGAAAUGCCGGGGCUUAACCCCGGACGUGCGUCAGAAACCGGCUUGCUAGAGUCUGGGAGAGGGAAGUGGAAUUCCUGGUGUAGCGGUGAAAUGCGCAGAUAUCAGGAGGAACACCGGUAGCGAAGGCUGCUUCCUGGAACAGUACUGACGCUGAGGCGCGAAAGCUAGGGGAGCAAACAGGAUUAGAUACCCUGGUAGUCCUAGCCGUAAACGAUGGACACUAGGUGUCGGGAGUGUCGACUCUCCCGGUGCCGAAGCUAACGCAUUAAGUGUCCCGCCUGGGGAGUACGGCCGCAAGGUUAAA
RNAcentral lists this ribosomal RNA (395 nucleotides) under uncultured bacterium. Its description in RNAcentral is "bacterial SSU rRNA". It matches the Rfam family "Bacterial small subunit ribosomal RNA", at positions 505 to 898 of the family's 1533-position model. The record is from RNAcentral.